RNAcentral lists this small RNA (182 nucleotides) under Geitlerinema sp. PCC 7407. RNAcentral's name for it is "c-di-AMP riboswitch aptamer (ydaO/yuaA leader)". It matches the Rfam family "c-di-AMP riboswitch aptamer (ydaO/yuaA leader)". From Rfam's summary of the family: This family represents a conserved RNA structure found upstream of the ydaO and yuaA genes in Bacillus subtilis and related genes in other bacteria. RNAcentral also lists the same sequence under 1 other name. Lineage: Bacteria; Bacillati; Cyanobacteriota; Cyanophyceae; Geitlerinematales; Geitlerinemataceae. The record is from Rfam by way of RNAcentral.
ACAGUAAGUCAGCCUAAUCCAAGCUCAGCUGCUUUUGUUCUAGCAGCGCCCCUUGGAGCGGAGGAACCACCUUUUGGGGCUUAUCGCUGGUUGCCCCCUGUCCUUGCAGACAGGCCAAUCAGGAAGAGCAUCUCUCAGCUCUCGCCCGUCAGCUAACUCCGUAGGCCUUGAGAGGAGACUGA